Molecule: ribosomal RNA, 446 nt
Filed under: uncultured bacterium
Lineage: Bacteria
Description: bacterial SSU rRNA
Rfam family: Bacterial small subunit ribosomal RNA
Source: RNAcentral
GAUCAUGGCUCAGAACGAACGCUGGCGGCAGGCCUAACACAUGCAAGUCGAGCGAACCCUUCGGGGUUAGCGGCGGACGGGUUAGUAACGCGUGGGAAUAUACCCUUUGGUACGGAAUAGCCUCGGGAAACUGAGAGUAAUACCGUAUGUGCCCUUCGGGGGAAAGAUUUAUCGCCAAAGGAUUAGCCCGCGUUGGAUUAGAUAGUUGGUGGGGUAAUGGCCUACCAAGUCUACGAUCCAUAGCUGGUUUGAGAGGAUGAUCAGCAACACUGGGACUGAGACACGGCCCAGACUCCUACGGGAGGCAGCAGUGGGGAAUCUUAGACAAUGGGCGCAAGCCUGAUCUAGCCAUGCCGCGUGGACGAUGAAGGCCUUAGGGUUGUAAAGUCCUUUCAGAUGGGAAGAUAAUGACGGUACCAUCAGAAGAAGCCCCGGCUAACUCCGUG